GAUGAACGCUGGCGGCGUGCCUAAUACAUGCAAGUCGAGCGAACAGACGAGGAGCUUGCUCCUCUGACGUUAGCGGCGGACGGGUGAGUAACACGUGGAUAACCUACCUAUAAGACUGGGAUAACUUCGGGAAACCGGAGCUAAUACCGGAUAAUAUAUUGAACCGCAUGGUUCAAUAGUGAAAGACGGUUUUGCUGUCACUUAUAGAUGGAUCCGCGCCGCAUUAGCUAGUUGGUAAGGUAACGGCUUACCAAGGCAACGAUGCGUAGCCGACCUGAGAGGGUGAUCGGCCACACUGGAACUGAGACACGGUCCAGACUCCUACGGGAGGCAGCAGUAGGGAAUCUUCCGCAAUGGGAGAAAGCCUGACGGAGCAAAGCCGCGUGAGUGAUGAAGGUCUUCGGAUCGUAAAACUCUGUUAUUAGGGAAGAACAAAUGUGUAAGUAACUAUGCACGUCUUGACGGUACCUAAUCAGAAAGCCACGGCUAACUACGUG
RNAcentral lists this ribosomal RNA (497 nucleotides) under uncultured bacterium. RNAcentral's name for it is "partial 16S ribosomal RNA". It matches the Rfam family "Bacterial small subunit ribosomal RNA", at positions 28 to 507 of the family's 1533-position model. The record is from RNAcentral.